UCUCCGUUGGUGAACCAGCGGAGGGAUCAUUACUGAGUUAUCCAACUCCCAAACCCAUGUGAACUUAUCUCUUUGUUGCCUCGGCGCAAGCUACCCGGGACCCAGCGCCCCGGGCGGCCCGCCGGCGGACAAACCAAACUCUUGUUAUUCAAUGGAUUAUCUGAGCGUCUUAUUUAAUAAGUCAAAACUUUCAACAACGGAUCUCUUGGUUCUG
This 214-nucleotide unclassified non-coding RNA is filed under the name plant metagenome. RNAcentral's name for it is "partial contains small subunit ribosomal RNA, internal transcribed spacer 1, and 5.8S ribosomal RNA". The record is from RNAcentral.